AGUGAACGCUGGCGGUAGGCCUAACACAUGCAAGUCGAACGGCAGCACAGUAAGAGCUUGCUCUUACGGGUGGCGAGUGGCGGACGGGUGAGGAAUACAUCGGAAUCUACUUUUUCGUGGGGGAUAACGUAGGGAAACUUACGCUAAUACCGCAUACGACCUACGGGUGAAAGCAGGGGAUCUUCGGACCUUGCGCGAUUGAAUGAGCCGAUGUCGGAUUAGCUAGUUGGCGGGGUAAAGGCCCACCAAGGCGACGAUCCGUAGCUGGUCUGAGAGGAUGAUCAGCCACACUGGAACUGAGACACGGUCAAGACUCCUACGGGAGGGAGCAGUGGGGAAUAUUGGACAAUGGGCGCAAGCCUGAUCCAGCCAUACCGCGUGGGUGAAGAAGGCCUUCGGGUUGUAAAGCCCUUUUGUUGGGAAAGAAAAGCAGCAGGUUAAUACCCAGCUGUUCUGACGGUACCCAAAGAAUAAGCACCGGCUAACUUCGUG
Molecule: ribosomal RNA, 492 nt
Filed under: uncultured bacterium
Lineage: Bacteria
Description: partial 16S ribosomal RNA
Rfam family: Bacterial small subunit ribosomal RNA
Source: RNAcentral